This 253-nucleotide ribosomal RNA is filed under the name uncultured bacterium. RNAcentral's name for it is "partial 16S ribosomal RNA". It matches the Rfam family "Bacterial small subunit ribosomal RNA", at positions 524 to 776 of the family's 1533-position model. The record is from RNAcentral.
UACAGAGGUCUCGAGCGUUGUUCGGAUUCAUUGGGCGUAAAGGGUGCGUAGGCGGCGCGGUAAGUCGGGUGUGAAAUCUCGGAGCUUAACUCCGAAACUGCAUUCGAUACUACCGUGCUUGAGGACUGGAGAGGAGACUGGAAUUUACGGUGUAGCGGUGAAAUGCGUAGAUAUCGUAAGGAAGACCAGUGGCGAAGGCGGGUCUCUGGACAGUUCCUGACGCUGAGGCACGAAGGCCAGGGGAGCAAACGGG